ACCAACCUUGAAUUUUCUGGGCAGAUAUGUAGGACCAUAUAAAGGCUCGACAUCCUGAACGGCCUCACCGGCAACCUUUCUCUUUUCGACAGUUUCGGGGUCCUCGAUCCAAAUUUCAUGAUAAGAGGAUGUAGUAGGAAGCAAUUCAUUACUGAUUUGCUUAGAUACAGCAAACAGUUGAUCGUGAAUUGUUUCAUUGUUGGGAGUCGACGAACAAGUGACAUUACGAGCAACAUCACCACAAGCACCAAGAGUAGUAAGGAAAACUUUAACGAUGUUACGAAUGGUAUUACGCAAAUUCUUCUUCAAAACACCAUGCCAUUGGAACGUUUGACGAGUCGUAAUCUUAAGGGUGUGAUUACCCCAUUUCGUAGAAAUAUCAUCC
Schizosaccharomyces pombe (fission yeast) is the source of this 385-nucleotide non-coding RNA. Lineage: Eukaryota; Fungi; Ascomycota; Schizosaccharomycetes; Schizosaccharomycetales; Schizosaccharomycetaceae. The record is from the annotation of a GenBank genome assembly.